Molecule: ribosomal RNA, 550 nt
Filed under: Allophryne ruthveni group sp. ABGD cluster 2
Lineage: Eukaryota; Metazoa; Chordata; Amphibia; Anura; Allophrynidae
Description: partial large subunit ribosomal RNA
Rfam family: Bacterial large subunit ribosomal RNA
Source: RNAcentral
GCCUGCCCAGUGACUCUGUUCAACGGCCGCGGUAUCCUAACCGUGCGAAGGUAGCGUAAUCACUUGUUCUUUAAAUGAGGACUAGUAUGAAUGGCACCACGAGGGUUAUACUGUCUCCUUUUUCUAAUCAGUAAAACUAAUCUUCCCGUGCAGAAGCGGGAAUAAACCUAUAAGACGAGAAGACCCUAUGGAGCUUUAAACUAAGUCACAUUUGCUUUACUCUCUACCCCUCCCCAGAGAAGUCAUAAACAUCUUAACAAACUGAUGACUAGUUUUCGGUUGGGGUGACCGCGGAGCAGAAAAAAACCUCCACAUUGAAAGGAAUUUAAUCCUAAGCCAAGAGCCACAACUCUAAGCAUCAAUAAAACGACAUUAAUUGACCCAAUAUAUUGAUCAACGAACCAAGUUACCCUAGGGAUAACAGCGCAAUCCACUUCAAGAGCUCCUAUCGACAAGUGGGUUUACGACCUCGAUGUUGGAUCAGGGUAUCCCGGUGGUGCAGCCGCUACCAAAGGUUCGUUUGUUCAACGAUUAAAACCCUACGUGAUCU